UGGGGAAUUUUGGACAAUGGGCGAAAGCCUGAUCCAGCCAUGCCGCGUGAGUGAAGAAGGCCUUCGGGUUGUAAAGCUCUUUUAGCCGGGAAGAAAGAGUUGCAAUGAAUAAUUGUGAUUUAUGACGGUACCGACAGAAAAAGCACCGGCUAACUACGUGCCAGCAGCCGCGGUAAUACGUAGGGUGCGAGCGUUAAUCGGAAUUACUGGGCGUAAAGGGUGCGCAGGCGGUCUUGCAAGUCAGAUGUGAAAGCCCCGGGCUUAACCUGGGAACUGCGUUUGAAACUACAAGACUAGAGUGCAGCAGAGGGGAGUGGAAUUCCAUGUGUAGCAGUGAAAUGCGUAGAGAUGUGGAAGAACACCGAUGGCGAAGGCAGCUCCCUGGGUUGACACUGACGCUCAUGCACGAAAGCGUGGGGAGCAAACA
Molecule: ribosomal RNA, 427 nt
Filed under: uncultured beta proteobacterium
Lineage: Bacteria; Pseudomonadati; Pseudomonadota; Betaproteobacteria
Description: bacterial SSU rRNA
Rfam family: Bacterial small subunit ribosomal RNA
Source: RNAcentral